CAGUGACUUUACCGUCAAACCACCGCGAAUAAUACCGUGACGUUGCCUCGGCGGGCGCUGCGGCGCAGGGCCCUAUGGGCCCAGCGCUCGGCGUCAAGCCCGCCGGCGGCCUUAAACUCUGUCUCAUUAAGCGUUACAUCUCUGAGUCUCACAUAAUGAGUCA
RNAcentral lists this unclassified non-coding RNA (163 nucleotides) under uncultured Chaetosphaeriaceae. Its description in RNAcentral is "sequence contains ITS1". Lineage: Eukaryota; Fungi; Ascomycota; Sordariomycetes; Chaetosphaeriales; Chaetosphaeriaceae. The record is from RNAcentral.